This 67-nucleotide transfer RNA is filed under the name Cyrtodactylus tautbatorum. RNAcentral describes it as "tRNA-Tyr". The record is from RNAcentral. Lineage: Eukaryota; Metazoa; Chordata; Lepidosauria; Squamata; Gekkonidae.
AGGUAGGGUGGCCGAGUAGGCGGCGAGUUGUAGCCUCGUGCACGGGCUAAAAGAGUCCCCCAGCCAA